Molecule: small nucleolar RNA, 70 nt
Filed under: Macleaya cordata
Lineage: Eukaryota; Viridiplantae; Streptophyta; Magnoliopsida; Ranunculales; Papaveraceae
Source: RNAcentral
UGAGUGCCAAUGAUGGUAUUAAAUAUACUAUGAGUAACAACUAUGAACACAAAUUAAUCUGAGGCACCAA